Molecule: ribosomal RNA, 253 nt
Filed under: uncultured bacterium
Lineage: Bacteria
Description: partial 16S ribosomal RNA
Rfam family: Bacterial small subunit ribosomal RNA
Source: RNAcentral
GACGAGGGGUCCAAGCGUUGUUCGGAAUCAUUGGGCGUAAAGCGGGUGUAGGCGGCUCUAUAAGUCAGGAGUGAAAUCCCCGAGCUUAACUUGGGAAGUGCAUUUGAUACUGCAGAGCUUGAAUGUGGGAGAGGUUAGUGGAAUUCCAAGUGUAGUGGUGAAAUACGUAGAUAUUUGGAGGAACACCGGUGGCGAAGGCGGCUAACUGGCCCAACAUUGACGCUGAGACCCGAAAGCAUGGGGAUCAAACAGG